AUCUGAUGAUGAGGGCAUCUUGCAUAUUGCCUCUUGAAUCUCUCCCAAUAUUCAUAUAAACCUUCUGCAUGUAGUUGUCUGAUUCCAGAAAUAUCUUUUCUGAUU
Molecule: small nucleolar RNA, 105 nt
Filed under: Lupinus angustifolius (narrow-leaved blue lupine)
Lineage: Eukaryota; Viridiplantae; Streptophyta; Magnoliopsida; Fabales; Fabaceae
Description: Plant small nucleolar RNA R71
Rfam family: Plant small nucleolar RNA R71
About the family: R71 is a member of the C/D box family of snoRNAs containing the C (UGAUGA) and D (CUGA) box motifs. Multiple nearly identical copies of this snoRNA have been identified in Arabidopsis, and it is thought to function as a 2'-O-ribose methylation guide for 18S ribosomal RNA.
Source: Rfam by way of RNAcentral